GAUGAACGCUGGCGGCGUGCCUAAUACAUGCAAGUAGAACGCUGAAGGAGGAGCUUGCUCUUCUGGAUGAGUUGCGAACGGGUGAGUAACGCGUAGGUAACCUGCCUGGUAGCGGGGGAUAACUAUUGGAAACGAUAGCUAAUACCGCAUGACAACAGUUAUUGCAUGAUAACUGUUUAAAAGGGGCAACUGCUCCACUACCAGAUGGACCUGCGUUGUAUUAGCUAGUUGGUGAGGUAACGGCUCACCAAGGCGACGAUACAUAGCCGACCUGAGAGGGUGAUCGGCCACACUGGGACUGAGACACGGCCCAGACUCCUACGGGAGGCAGCAGGAGGGAAUCUUCGGCAAUGGACGGAAGUCUGACCGAGCAACGCCGCGUGAGUGAAGAAGGGUUUCGGAUCGUAAAGCUCUGUUGUAAGAGAAGAACGAGUGUGAGAGUGGAAAGUUCACACUGUGACGGUAUCUUACCAGAAAGGGACGGCUAACUACGUG
This 495-nucleotide ribosomal RNA is filed under the name uncultured bacterium. Its description in RNAcentral is "partial 16S ribosomal RNA". It matches the Rfam family "Bacterial small subunit ribosomal RNA", at positions 28 to 507 of the family's 1533-position model. The record is from RNAcentral.